AAGUCGUAACAAGGUUUCCGUAGGUGAACCUGCGGAAGGAUCAUUAGUGAAUUAAACAUGCUUGGUGUCUUCGCUUCGGCAAGGCCCUUGCUUAAAUCACAUCCUGACACCUGUGAACUGUAAGACGUAUGAUGAGGUCUUUGGCCAAGUCAUCGUCUGCCCAUUUUUAACAAACAAUUAAUGUAACAAACGUAGUCUUAUUAUAACCUAAUAAAACUUUCAACAACGGAUCUCUUGGCUCUC
This 243-nucleotide unclassified non-coding RNA is filed under the name Solicoccozyma terrea. Its description in RNAcentral is "partial internal transcribed spacer region". The stretch from base 1 to 46 matches the Rfam family "Eukaryotic small subunit ribosomal RNA", at positions 1786 to 1831 of the family's 1831-position model. Lineage: Eukaryota; Fungi; Basidiomycota; Tremellomycetes; Filobasidiales; Piskurozymaceae. The record is from RNAcentral.